RNAcentral lists this long non-coding RNA (662 nucleotides) under Heterocephalus glaber (naked mole-rat). Its description in RNAcentral is "lncRNA (ENSHGLG00000034216.1)". Lineage: Eukaryota; Metazoa; Chordata; Mammalia; Rodentia; Bathyergidae. The record is from RNAcentral.
CUCUGAUUUAUUUCACCUAGCAUUAUAGACUCGAGGUUCGUCCAUUUUUCUACAAAUAGUUGAAGUUUAUUCUUCUUUAUGACUGAGUAGUAUUCCUUUAUGUAUAUAUAGCACAUUAUCUUUCUCCAUUAUCUUUCAUCCGGUGAUGGGCAUAUAGGCUGCUUCCAAAAUUUAGCUGUCAGUGAUUUAUUUUUUAAGAGUUUAUGAGUGCAUGGUAUUAAUUCCUUAAAUUUCUGGAAUCACCGCUAGUGAAAUCAUCCUGACCUGAGCAUAGAAUUGAUGUUGGAUGGGAAUCUUUCUGAGCUGAGACUUCAGGCAGAUCAAAGCCAUAGCCAUGAUUGACAACUAGAUUUCUGACCCAGAGAAUCUGCAGGCACUGCUACCCCUCCCGAGGCCCAGUUAGGAAUUGGAGCAGAAGCUCUACAGGAAGAGAACAGGAGAACCUUUCCUUGACUUGGUCUGCAGUCUUUGCUCACAUCACCGAGUAGAGGAUUUUUCUCCUCUAUGGAACACACUGUACAGGCUGAGUAUGAGACAUUUCCUCUGUGGCUGCUCAUGAAGUCAUUUUCCUCACAGAAAUACUGCAUUAAACUGUCUUUAUGUUUACAUGUAUGAGCCACCUUGAAGAGAUUUUUGUGUGCAUUGUGAGUUUAAACUUCAGC